CCUACGGGAUGCAGCAGUGAGGAAUAUUGGUCAAUGGGCGUAAGCCUGAACCAGCCAAGUCGCGUGAGGGAUGAAGGUUCUAUGGAUCGUAAACCUCUUUUAUAAGGGAAUAAAGUGUGGGACGUGUCCUGUUUUGUAUAUACCUUAUGAAUAAGGAUCGGCUAACUCCGUGCCAGCAGCCGCGGUAAUACGGAGGAUCCGAGCGUUAUCCGGAUUUAUUGGGUUUAAAGGGUGCGUAGGCGGCAUUUUAAGUCAGCGGUGAAAGUCUGUGGCUCAACCAUAGAAUUGCCGUUGAAACUGGGAGGCUUGAGUAUGUUUGAGGCAGGCGGAAUGCGUGGUGUAGCGGUGAAAUGCUUAGAUAUCACGCAGAACCCCGAUUGCGAAGGCAGCCUGCCAAGCCAUGACUGACGCUGAUGCACGAAAGCGUGGGGAUCAAACAGGAUUAGAUACCCUGGUAGUC
RNAcentral lists this ribosomal RNA (460 nucleotides) under uncultured bacterium. RNAcentral's name for it is "partial 16S ribosomal RNA". It matches the Rfam family "Bacterial small subunit ribosomal RNA", at positions 338 to 795 of the family's 1533-position model. The record is from RNAcentral.